AACGCGAAGAACCUUACCUGGUCUUGACAUCCACGGAAGUUUUCAGAGAUGAGAAUGUGCCUUCGGGAACCGUGAGAUAGGUGCUGCAUGGCUGUCGUCAGCUUGUGUUGUGAAAUGUUGGGUUAAGUCCCGCAACGAGCGCAACCCUUAUCCUUUGUUGCCAGCGGUCCGGCCGGGAACUCAAAGGAGACUGCCAGUGAUAAACUGGAGGAAGGUGGGGAUGACGUCAAGUCAUCAUGGCCCUUACGACCAGGGCUACACACGUGCUACAAUGGCGCAUACAAAGAGAAGCGACCCCGCGAGAGCAAGCGGACCUCAUAAAGUGCGUCGUAGUCCGGAUUGGAGUCUGCAACACGACUCCAUGAAGUCGGAAUCGCUAGUAAUCGUGGAUCAGAAUGCCACGGUGAAUACGUUCCCGGGCCUUGUACACACCG
Molecule: ribosomal RNA, 434 nt
Filed under: uncultured bacterium
Lineage: Bacteria
Description: bacterial SSU rRNA
Rfam family: Bacterial small subunit ribosomal RNA
Source: RNAcentral